GGAGAGUUGUCAGAGAGGCUUAAUGAUACGGGUUGCUAACUCGUUGUACUAGUAAUAGUACCAAGGGUUCGAAUCCCUUACUCUCCU
This is a transfer RNA of 87 nucleotides. It matches the Rfam family "tRNA". Rfam says of the family: Transfer RNA (tRNA) molecules are approximately 80 nucleotides in length. The record is from Rfam.